UACGUAGGGUGCAAGCGUUGUCCGGAAUUAUUGGGCGUAAAGAGCGUGUAGGCGGCCCCAUUAGUCCGCUGUGAAAGUCCAGGGCUCAACCCUGGAAUGCCGGUGGAUACUGUGGGGCUAGAGUCCGGAAGGGGCGAGUGGAAUUCCUGGUGUAGCGGUGAAAUGCGCAGAUAUCAGGAGGAACACCAGUGGCGAAGGCGGCUCACUGGACCGGUACUGACGCUGAUGCGCGAAAGCGUGGGGAGCAAACGGG
This 253-nucleotide ribosomal RNA is filed under the name uncultured bacterium. RNAcentral's name for it is "partial 16S ribosomal RNA". It matches the Rfam family "Bacterial small subunit ribosomal RNA", at positions 524 to 776 of the family's 1533-position model. The record is from RNAcentral.